This is a long non-coding RNA of Humulus lupulus (European hop), 724 nucleotides long. RefSeq lists it as uncharacterized. The record is from RefSeq and is a predicted model, not a curated record. The transcript is spliced from 3 exons. Lineage: Eukaryota; Viridiplantae; Streptophyta; Magnoliopsida; Rosales; Cannabaceae.
UUUUUGGUUCAUAAGACGGAAACCACCAUUUGUUUUUUUAGAGAGAUACUCAUUCUUUGGAGGUAGCCAUUGAAGAAAAUUCCCAAGAUAAUGAAGAAGAAGAAAAGAAAGGAGUAAAGAAGUACACAAGAGAAAAUGAGAAAGAAAUGAUUUGGGCACAUGGCAGACAAGAGCUUCUUCCCCAAUAGUGGCAGACAAGAGGCGACAGGAUAUACAUUUAUGAUGAAUUUGAGUUUGGGGACAUUUGAUAUUUGUUAUCCAUGAUUAUUGAGCACUCAAUGGAUGACAUUUUGAGGAAAAUGCUCAAACACUAGCUCGAGUAGUUUUUGUCAACCAAGAGAAACAACGUGCACAAGUCGAGAUACAUAAGGGGAUCAAUUAUGACAGUGUAGAUCUCUAGUAGAGAAUAGAGGUUUACCAAAGUUGUGCACAAGGACAGAAUCGUUCAGAUGAAAUGAUGAGGUAUUUGACUAUCAUGAUGCCUAUGAGGAGGGGUGUUCAGAAAAUAUUCAUUCUGAUUCAAUCCAAUCUACUUCGCAUAGUGCGGAUAUCCGCACUUGUGCGGAUUGAAUACACAUUCACCUAUAAAACUAACCGAUCCAAUCUAAACCUAUAUGUAUUUUAAAAAAUUAUGAAUAUAUAUGUAAAAUAAAUAUUUUUAAUAUUUCAAACGUUAAUACUUUUAAAAUGUUUAAAUCAUAAUAAAAUUAAAUCCUCUCUUUAA